CGAGGUGCGGUCCCUGUGGCCUGAUGGGGGUGCUCGGACAGCUGGCCUUGUGGUUCUUCAUCGUCCAGCUGCAGACUCUGAUGAAGGCGCUUGGCUUCCACUCUGUCUGGGGCCAAACCAUUUCGGCAGCCAUCGUGGUUGCCAAGUCCGUGAGGAUGGUAUCGCCAGAGGGGACUGCUAAGAGGAGAAGCACAUGGAGGAGCAGGAGGAUCCGGCGAAGAGCCCUGAGGAGGCUCGUGGAGAGGCACGUCCGCAGUGGAAGAUGCAAAGGGAGCCUGAGACAGAAGUGGCUGCGUGCUGGGCAGCCCCGGCGGUACUGGCUGCGGUCAGUGAGGAGAAGGGGCUGCAUCUUCUGCGACCUGCAGCAGCCCCCCUCGGUGCCAACGGUGGCUGUCUCCGUGCCUGCAGGAGUGCCGGGUGAGGUGCUGAUCAGCUCACCUCCAUCGUCACCUGCACCUCACAGGGUGAAACGAAUCCGCUUUGGGAAAUAGUAAUAUUGCAAAUAAAGGGGGGUGGUUCUUGAACA
This 526-nucleotide long non-coding RNA is filed under the name Anser brachyrhynchus (Pink-footed goose). Its description in RNAcentral is "lncRNA (ENSABRG00000019343.1)". Lineage: Eukaryota; Metazoa; Chordata; Aves; Anseriformes; Anatidae. The record is from RNAcentral.